Molecule: ribosomal RNA, 497 nt
Filed under: uncultured bacterium
Lineage: Bacteria
Description: partial 16S ribosomal RNA
Rfam family: Bacterial small subunit ribosomal RNA
Source: RNAcentral
GAUGAACGCUGGCGGCGUGCCUAAUACAUGCAAGUCGAGCGAACGGACGAGAAGCUUGCUUCUCUGAUGUUAGCGGCGGACGGGAGAGUAAAAUGUGGAUAACCUACCUAUAAGACUGGGAUAACUUCGGGAAACCGGAGCUAAUACCGGAUAAUAUCUUGAACCGCAUGGUUCAAAAGUGAAAGACGGUCUUGCUGUCACUUAUAGAUGGAUCCGCGCUGCAUUAGCUAGUUGGUAAGGUAACGGCUUACCAAGGCAACGAUGCAUAGCCGACCUGAGAGGGGGUUGGGCGACACUGGGGCUGAGACACGGUCCUGACUCCUACGGGAGGCAGCAGUAGGGAAGCGUCCGCGAAGGGCGAAAGCCUGACGGAGCAGCGCCGCGUUGGUGAUGAAGGUCUUCGGAUCGUAAGACUCUGUUAUUAGGGAAGAACGUAUGUGUAAGUAGCUGUGCACAUCUUGACGGUACCUAAUCAGAAAGCCACGGCUAACUACGUG